RNAcentral lists this ribosomal RNA (497 nucleotides) under uncultured bacterium. RNAcentral's name for it is "partial 16S ribosomal RNA". It matches the Rfam family "Bacterial small subunit ribosomal RNA", at positions 28 to 507 of the family's 1533-position model. The record is from RNAcentral.
GAUGAACGCUGGCGGCGUGCCUAACACAUGCAAGUCGAGCGAACAGACGAGGAGCUUGCUUCUCUGACGUUAGCGGCGGACGGGUGAGUAACACGUGGAUAACCUACCUAUAAGACUGGGAUCACUUCGGGAAACCGGAGCUAACACCGGAUAAUAUAUUGAACCGCAUGGUUCAUUAGUGAACGACGGUUUUGCUGUCACUUAUAGAUGGAUCCGCGCUGCAUUAGCUAGUUGGUAAGGUAACGGCUUACCAAGGCAACGAUGCGUAGCCGACCUGAGAGGGUGAUCGGCCACACUGGAACUGAGACACGGUCCAGACUCCUACGGGAGGCAGCAGUAGGGAAUCUUCCGCAAUGGGCGAAAGCCUGACGGAGCAACGCCGCGUGAGUGAUGAAGGUCUUCGGAUCGUAAAGCUCUGUUAUUAGGGGAGAACAAAUGUGUAAGUAACUAUGCACGUCUUGACGGUACCUAAUCAGAAAGCCACGGCUAACUACGUG